Molecule: long non-coding RNA, 741 nt
Organism: Fukomys damarensis (Damara mole-rat)
Lineage: Eukaryota; Metazoa; Chordata; Mammalia; Rodentia; Bathyergidae
Exons: 6
Source: RefSeq, a predicted model, not a curated record
GGCAAGGGGUUCCACGCUUUCUAAUCACCGAGUGUCACCAACCUCUUCCCAGAGUCAAGGUUGAAUCUGUGAGGCACAGAGGUGAGGCUGAUGGGAAGAGUAAGGACUUCAGAGACCUGGGCACAAUACUGCCUCCAUCUGUCUGAGUGGCUCUGAUCAGGUGCCUUAACCUCUCUGACCUGUUGUUUUAUCUAGGCAAUACAGAUGACAGCACUGAGAUACAGAACCUUUGUCUGUGAGGAGAGUCACAGCAGAAAGUGGAUUUCUUUUUGAUGCUGCCAUGGUACUGCUUGACUACCCAAUGCCCACCUUCUCCCCUGUAUCCUGCAUCACACUGUGCACAUCCUGUAUUCCUCUCCUACACUGGGCUGUGAGUUUAACGAGCUAAUAGAACCACGAUACAUUAGUGGAAGCACCAGGCUCACUUCUCCUGACUCCUCUGAAGUCACUUCCUGGGUGUCUGUAGGAACGAAUUCUGGCCAAUGAAAUCCCUUGCUCAAGAUGUUGGGUAUGAUGUACACUCCUACCAUGAUGUGCCAGUUACCUGCCACCAUCAUCAGAGACCAAAACAAAUGGGACCAUCUGGUCUUCUAUGGUUUAGGACCUGCUGGCAGGAUCCUGAUGUUGCGGCUCGUGACAGUCUUCGACUUUGAACAUUAAAAACUGUGAAUUAAACAGCAUUGACAUAGAAGCUCAGAGCAGAGACAUCACGGAGAUGGUAACCAGACCUCUGGGGAGGAG